Molecule: ribosomal RNA, 506 nt
Filed under: uncultured bacterium
Lineage: Bacteria
Description: partial 16S ribosomal RNA
Rfam family: Bacterial small subunit ribosomal RNA
Source: RNAcentral
AGUGAACGCUGGCGGUAGGCCUAACACAUGCAAGUCGAACGGCAGCACAGGAGAGCUUGCUCUCUGGGUGGCGAGUGGCGGACGGGUGAGGAAUACAUCGGAAUCUACCUUUUCGUGGGGGAUAACGUAGGGAAACUUACGCUAAUACCGCAUACGACCUUCGGGUGAAAGCAGGGGACCUUCGGGCCUUGCGCGAUUGAAUGAGCCGAUGUCGGAUUAGCUAGUUGGCGGGGUAAGGGCCCACCAAGGCGACGAUCCGUAGCUGGUCUGAGAGGAUGAUCAGCCACACUGGAACUGUGACACGGUCCAGACUCCUACGGGAGGCAGCAGUGGGGAAUAUUGGACAAUGGGCGCAAGCCUGAUCCAGCCAUACCGCGUGGGUGAAGAAGGCCUUCGGGUUGUAAAGCCCUUUUGUUGGGAAAGAAAUCCAGCUGGCUAAUACCCGGUUGGGAUGACGGUACCCAAAGAAUAAGCACCGGCUAACUUCGUGCCAGCAGCCGCCGUAA